This 5392-nucleotide long non-coding RNA is filed under the name Arabidopsis lyrata. RNAcentral's name for it is "long non-coding RNA (ALYR_LNC001540)". The record is from RNAcentral. Lineage: Eukaryota; Viridiplantae; Streptophyta; Magnoliopsida; Brassicales; Brassicaceae.
CAACCUUAAAAACUAAACCUAUAUCUAUAGAGUGCUCGGCAGCCGGCAGGAAAACCGUAAACGUAUACGCAUGGAUAUGCCGACCGAUUUGAUGAAGAAAGAGGAGACACAAAAAGUGUCUGACAGUCAUGAUUGGUCCAAGUGUUAAUCAAGAAGACAUUUAACACUAACUAAGUCAUAGUUAAGGGUUAAAUGUAGGUUACUUGGGUUACUCGGGUUACAGGUUACUUGGGUUACUCGGGUUACAAGUCUGAAUGAGGGUGCUAUUAGUCUUUGUGCACAACCCAUAAACCCUAGAGAGUGUGUUCUCAUAUAAAAGCACUUGUGUGCCUCCACUUUGUAAAAACAAUGUUUAUCCUUUAAUAACAACACUUUUCUCUCAACUAUGAUUUUUCAUUAAUCCAAAUUUCCGCUCAAACUCUCUCUCAAUCUUAACAUGGUAUCAGAGCAAGAUCCUCAUUCUAAACUCUAAAUCCUUUCUAUUCUCCUUUCUAUUUUUCUUUAAAUCUCUGGCCUUGAAUCUCUGAUUUUCGAAUCUCUGUUCUUUCUCAUCUUGGUUGCUAUUAUCCAACGGUUAAAGAAAAGUACUCUUGUUCAUUUGUUCUCUAAACUCAAACCUGUUUCACUAAAUCUAUUUCUCUUGUAUCCGCUGUGCACUCAUGGAGAAUUUCUCACACUUCAAAAGGAUAGUGAUUCCGGUUACACUCAACGGUGAAAACUACCUCUUAUGGGCUCGCUCGGCGAAGAAUAACUUGGGUAGUUGUGGAUUAUGGAACCACAUUGAAGCCAUCAAAGGGAAGAAAGAUCCCUCGAUUGAAAUCGAAGAAGAAGACGGAAAAGAAGAGAAAGAACUCACUCCCGAAGAGGAGAAGUGGGCUCAAGAAGACCAAGUAGCGCUUGUGGCCCUUCAAAAUUCUCUUGAGACGUCUAUACUACAAGCUUACUCCUACUGCGAGAGAGCUAAAGAACUAUGGGAUACACUCAAGAAUGUGUAUGGCGAUGUCUCAAACUUGACUCGGGUGUUUGAAGUCAAGAGAGCAAUCAACAACUUACACAUGGAGGAUCUCGACUUCAAGAAGUACUUUGGAAAGUACCGAUCUCUCCUAGCUGAGCUCGAAAUGCUAAGACCUCCAACAAUCAAACCAAAAGAGCUAGCCAUGAGGCGAGAGCAAGACAAUGUUUUUGGCUUGCUUUUGGGUCUAAGUCCAAAUCUCAACGGACUAGUUCAACAUAUCCUAAGAGGAGAUGAACUACCAACUCUAGAUGGGGCAUGUUCCCAAAUCCAAAAGGAGAUUGGUGGUCUUGGCUUGUUCUACAAGGGAGAUCUACCCACGGCCAACAAAGGAACUCUUCAAGGGAAAGAGGAAACACCGGUGGCAAGCAAAGGAGUGUUUAAACCAAAUGCAGAUCGAAGAAACUUGGUGUGUGAGCAUUGUAAACGAAAGGGUCAUAUUAAAGAAAAAUGUUGGAUACUUCAUCCUCAUCUAAAGCCAAGCAAAUUCAAGGAACCAAGAGCUCACAUGGCCGAAGGUUCUAGCUCGGGUCAAGGAGAGAGUGGUAACAAGGGAGUCUCAGGUCAAGAGCUAGCUUUGGUUCCAACUACACAUAUCUCUCAAGGAGAUAUAGUGAUGAAAAAGGCGGACUUGGAAGCAUUAUUUCAAGCCAUGGCCUCUAAGCUCAACGCUAAUAAUGGUAUCUCUCUCUACUCUAGUAUUUCGAGCACUUCUAAUGAUCACUAUGUUGUUGAUUCGGGUGCCUCUCACCAUAUGGUUAAAAAUGCUAAGUUACUUGAGAAUAUAAAAUCCACUAGUGGUCAUGUUGCUACCGGCAAUGGCGAUAGAGUAAACAUAGAAGGCAUAGGUCAAAUUAACUUAUUUGAUAAGAAAUCCGAAGCUUUCUAUAUGCCCCAAUUCACUAGUAACCUCCUUUCGGUGAAAAAGGUAACAAAAGACUUGAAUUGUUAUGUAAAAUUUGGACCUAACGAUGUGCAUUUUCAGGAUAUUAAGAGUGGGAAACUACUUGGAAAGGGAGACACUAAGGAUGAUCUUUAUAUGCUUAAGGCGUAUCCAUUACAAAGUACUUCAAGUGUUUCGGUCUUAAAUCAAGUUCCUUUAUCUAUGAAUGCCACACUAGAAGAUUUAUGGCAUUUUUGUUUAGGUCAUCCUCAUUCGAGGGCUUUAAGUUUAAUUUUCCCAAAUGUUGUUUUUGAUAACUCUAGAUGUGAGGCUUGUAUCCUUGGCAAACAUUGCAAGGCUGUUUUUCCAAACUCUAAAACUAUUUAUGAAAAAUGCUUUGAUUUAGUUCAUUCGGAUGUAUGGACCGCACCUUGUAUCUCAAGGGACCAUAACAAGUAUUUUGUGACUUUCAUUGAUGAAAAAUCAAAAUAUACUUGGCUCACUUUGCUCCCUUCUAAAGACCGUGUACUUGAUGCGUUCCAAAACUUCCAAAAUCAUAUAACUAACCAAUAUAAUGCUAAGAUCAAAGUGUUUAGGUCGGAUAAUGGAGGAGAGUAUACAAGUCAAGCAUUCAAAGAUCAUCUCACAAGACAUGGGAUCAUUCAUCAAACAAGUUGUCCAUAUACACCACAACAAAAUGGUGUGGCCGAGAGAAAGAAUCGACAUUUGAUGGAAGUGGCGAGAUCCAUGAUGUUUCAUCAUAAUGUACCAAAACGUUUUUGGGGAGACGCGGUGUUAUCCGCGUGCUAUCUAAUCAACCGGAUCCCUACAAAGAUCCUACAAAAUGCAUCACCAUUUGAGGUAAUUAAUAAUUCUAAGCCUUCUCUAGAUCACUUACGUGUUUUUGGGAGUGUUUGCUUUGUUCUAGUUCCCGGAGAUCAAAGAAACAAGCUUGAACCGAAAAGCACAAAGUGUAUGUUUCUCGGCUACUCUACUACUCAAAAGGGAUAUAAGUGCUUCAAUCCUUCUACAAAUAGGAUGUUGGUAUCAAGAGACGUUAAAUUCUUCGAAGAACAAAGCUACUUUGAAACAAAGAGUUGGGACAAUGUCAAAGACAUCUCGGAUAGUCCCUCGGAUCGAGCAAAGAGCUUAGAGUUCAUCAUCCAACAUCUUGGUAAUCCGGCACCUACGGCUGAAGCGUCUUCUCCCCAACCUGCUCACGGCAGCCCUCAGCAUGGUUACAAUGAUGAUACUGUACCUACCGGAAAUCAAAUACCAUCGGGUCCUUCUCAAAGCAAUAUGACCGGACAAGACUUGGAGAACUCCUCAGACCAUGACAAUGACAAUGACACUAUUCUUCAUACAGCUCCGGUUCCCCGACGAAGCACACGCCCUCGCAAUCGUCCGGAAAUGUGGAGAGACAAUCAGUUUCAUUACCCGGCUAAUCAAGUCACUUACCCCAUUCAACAAGUUUGCUCGAUGGACCUUCUACCCGCUGAACACAAGGCCUUCUUAAGUCAAAUUGAUGCUCAUAUCAUUCCCCAAAGCUAUGAAGAAGCACAAGGCAAUGAGAAAUGGACAAAAGCGGUAGAUAAUGAAGUGGGAGCGAUGGAAAAGAACAACACAUGGGACGUGGAGGAGCUACCUCCGGGAAAGAGGUGUGUUAGUUCUAAAUGGGUUUUCACCAUAAAGUAUAAGAGUGAUGGUGAAAUUGAGAGAUAUAAGGCUAGGCUAGUGGCAAGAGGGUUUACUCAGACAUAUGGUGAAGACUAUAGAGAAACUUUUGCGCUAGUAGCUAAGCAACACACAGUCAAGGUUGUUCUUUCUCUAGCGGUGAAUAUGGAUUGGGAAUUGUGGCAGAUGGAUGUCAAGAACGCUUUUCUUCAGGGGGAGUUAGAAGAAGAAGUGUAUAUGACACCACCUCCAGGUUUAGAGGAUACAGUGGCUCCAAGGAAGGUGUUAAGACUUCGAAAAGCUAUCUAUGGCCUCAAACAAUCCCCAAGAGCUUGGUAUCACAAGCUGAGAUCAACCUUGCUUAGAGAAGGCUUCAAAAGGUCACAUUCUGAUCACACUUUGUUCACUAAACAGGAUAAUCAAGGAAUUGUAGUAGUUUUGAUCUAUGUUGAUGACUUGAUUAUCUCUGGAAGUAACAAAGCAGGUAUCCAAGCUAUCAAGUCUUCUUUACAUUCUGCUUUUGAUAUUAAAGAUUUGAGUGUUUUGAAGUAUUUCUUAGGGAUUGAGGUGUGUAGAUCCAAGGAGGGACUGUUUCUCUCACAAGGAAAUACGCUCUUGAUCUUCUAAAACUUACAGGAAAGCUUGGAGCUAAACCAGUAGAUACACCACUCGAGCAAGGGUACAAGGUCAAUCGAAAGGGGGAGAAAGAUGACACUCCUUAUCAUUGCCCCGAACAAUACCGAAGACUCGUGGGUAAGCUUAUCUACUUGACAUAUACUCGACCUGAUUUAUCUUUUGCUGUGAAUCAGGUAGCUCAACACAUGCAAGCUCCCACUGUUUAUCAUUGGAGUUUGGUGGAGAGAAUUUUGAGAUAUAUCAAAGGAAGUCCCGGCAAAGGCAUAUGGAUGGGAAGAAACUCUAGCACAGAGAUUGUUGGAUAUUGCGAUGCAGAUUACAAUGGGGAUCGCAACAAAAGACAAUCAACAACUGGUUUUUGUACAUUCAUUGGUGGGAAUCUUGUGACUUGGAAGUCGAAGAAGCAGAAAGUCGUCUCUUGUUCGAGUGCUGAAGCAGAGUAUAGAGCUAUGAAGAAACUCACAAACGAGUUAACAUGGCUAAAGGCUUUGUUAAAGGACUUUGGGAUCGAGCAGAAGACUCCAAUCACUUUUCAUAGUGACAAUCAAGCGGCCAUCCACAUUGCUACCAAUCCCGUGUUCCACGAGAGGACCAAGCACAUAGAGAUGGAUUGCCACAAGACAAGAGAGAAGAUAGAAGAUGGUACGAUUCUCCCUUGUUACACUAAGAGUUCGGACCAAUUGGCCGAUAUCUUUACCAAGGCAGCAAGUAACCAAGUUUGCCAAUUUAUUCAUGGUAAACUUGGUCUUGUAGACCUGACACAUCCUUGAAAAAUAUUCUCCAACUUGUAGGGAUAAUACUCUUUUUCCCUAAGCUUGGUUUUGUCCCACGUGGUUUUCCAAACUUAGGUUUUUAAUGAGGUUAUUCAUACAAGUGCCAAGUUUAUACACAAUUGGGCAUUGUGGUAUAAACUUGAGGGGGAGUGUUAAUCAAGAAGACAUUUAACACUAACUAAGUCAUAGUUAAGGGUUAAAUGUAGGUUACUUGGGUUACUCGGGUUACAGGUUACUUGGGUUACUCGGGUUACAAGUCUGAAUGAGGGUGCUAUUAGUCUUUGUGCACAACCCAUAAACCCUAGAGAGUGUGUUCUCAUAUAAAAGCACUUGUGUGCCUCCACUUUGUAAAAACAAUGUUUAUCCUUUAAUAACAACACUUUUCUCUCAACUAUGAUUCUUCAUUAAUCCAAA